Molecule: ribosomal RNA, 443 nt
Filed under: uncultured bacterium
Lineage: Bacteria
Description: partial 16S ribosomal RNA
Rfam family: Bacterial small subunit ribosomal RNA
Source: RNAcentral
CCUACGGGUGGCAGCAGUGAGGGAUAUUGGUCAAUGGGGGAAACCCUGAACCAGCAACGCCGCGUGAGGGAAGACGGUUUUCGGAUUGUAAACUUCUUUUCUCAGGGACGAAGAAAGUGACGGUACCUGAGGAAUAAGCCACGGCUAACUACGUGCCAGCAGCCGCGGUAAUACGUAGGUGGCAAGCGUUAUCCGGAUUUACUGGGUGUAAAGGGCGUGUAGGCGGGAAAGCAAGUCAGAUGUGAAAACCAUGGGCUCAACCUGUGGCCUGCAUUUGAAACUGUUUUUCUUGAGUACUGGAGAGGCAGACGGAAUUCCUCGUGUAGCGGUGAAAUGCGUAGAUAUGAGGAGGAACACCAGUGGCGAAGGCGGUCUGCUGGACAGCAACUGACGCUGAGGCGCGAAAGCGUGGGGAGCAAACAGGAUUAGAUACCCUGGUAGUC